GGAUGCCGUCACAGCUGGCUCUGCUUCUUCCUGUGGGCCCGCUCCACCGAACUCAGCCUAGGGGGAGACAUAAACCUGUCGGACUGGUCACUCUUUCCACCACCCUCAUCUCCCGCCUUUCUUUCCUCCCAUUACUGGUGACAUGUUUCAGCUGCGGCUCCCACUGGUCAGUUUGUAAGAGAGAAGAAUGAUUUCCAGUGUGCCAGUGGGUGGUGGUGGGGGUUGAGGCUACAGGGCAAGGUCACGUCCAACCCAGGGAUUAAAGAGCCACAUCAAUACUGAGGUUCCUGUGCCUCUGGGCCUCAUACAGUAAUCCAUCAGAUCAGGACAUCCUCUUCUACCAGUCUCUGCAGGCUGGACAGUCGAUCAAUACCGGUAUGCUUGGAAUGGCUGACAAUCAUAUGCUGAAUACUGGGGGAAGAUGUGCAACAUUUUGUUGUUUGUUUUUAAACCAGACUCUAACAUCUGUGUUAAUUUUUAGAAUCAAAGUGACAUGAUUGGUGCAGAAGGACCAGAGAGAGGCCAGACCAAUUGCUGAUCUGAUCCAUAUUUAGAUAAAAGCAGUUCAAAGAAGGAUAAUAGCUGUAACUAAGAAAUUAUUCAUGUGGGGGUGGGGUAUCAGGGCCACAGGGGGAUAAUGAAGAUCUCACCAAAAAGAUUUCUACAGAUGAAUUUCCACUCUUUACCAAACUAAAAGCGCAUUAAUCCUGGGCCCAUAAAAUGUGGGGAUCUGAAUGGAUAUUGACAUCUUUACAGCUAUGUAAUAUCGCACUGAGUCCAAAAUCCAUCAAUCAUGUGCACACUUGUGGUGCCUGGUGACAUUUAUCAUGCCACAACUUUCAUCUUUGAGACUUCAGGAGUCUCUUGGACCCCCCACCCUUAUAUUAUUGAAUAUUUCUGCUCUUAAAUAUUUAUAACCUUUUAAUUGAUAUUCUCUAUUCUGCUCCAUUAGCCCCACUGGGGAUCUGUGGUCCCUGGCAGGGAAGCUCCACCAUUGUCUGGCCCACACACUGAGACAGGUGGAGACACUGACCACAGGGAAAGAGGAAGGGCAAGAACCCACAGGAAUGGAGUGGAAAAAACUAUAUAAGGCAAUAAAAUGAGUGGGCAUGGGAUGGUUAUUGGUAUGAAGUUACAGAAAAGUUUACUGUACAUUGUAGCAGUGCUACAGUUUUUCUUUAUAAUGUUCCAAUGGUAUUAAGUUGUUUAAUUUAGACAGAGAAACUGAUACAAUGGCUCCAUCAAUUGCAGCACACUAUUGGUCAGCUGGCUGAAAAACUAUUUUUAUACUUCCUCUUAGCUUUCAAGUAGGACAAAUAUUUGAAACAAGGAUUGGCUAAGCAACCAACUACAGCUGACCACACAAACUGA
This is a long non-coding RNA of Gambusia affinis (western mosquitofish), 1371 nucleotides long. RefSeq lists it as uncharacterized. NCBI's taxonomy places the organism in Eukaryota, Metazoa, Chordata, Actinopteri, Cyprinodontiformes, Poeciliidae. The record is from RefSeq and is a predicted model, not a curated record. The transcript has 3 exons.